This is a long non-coding RNA of Dreissena polymorpha, 741 nucleotides long. RefSeq lists it as uncharacterized. The record is from RefSeq and is a predicted model, not a curated record. NCBI's taxonomy places the organism in Eukaryota, Metazoa, Mollusca, Bivalvia, Myida, Dreissenidae. The transcript is spliced from 3 exons.
AAAAGGGGUUAUCAUACUACCUGAUGUAUGGACUUAUACACCAGGCUUUUACCCUGCACGAGCUGGCCAACUUGAGGGGAACUGAAGUGGGCAAACCUCGCCCUGUCCUUGAACAAGAAAGCUGGAUUUGUUGAGAGAGUAUCAUUAAAGCUGAACUCCAGCAUGAAACCAGGGAGGUGAAGGCCAUCGCACAGGCCAUGUGCCGACUGUUCACUCCCCACCAGCUUGUGACUUGCUCCAUGAAGGGAGCAACAACUACAACGGGGUCACCAAGACCAAGCCUCCCCACUGCUGAGAGAAAUGCAAUCAUUGAUGUCAUAGCCAAAACCUUUGACAAGCCCCUGGUGGAUGUUGAAGAAAAGAUGAGAGGUUGUUUAAGGCGUCUGCGGCUGAUGCACAAGUAGACUGAAGUCUUUGUAAAUAAAAUGUGCUGUUAAAAUGAUUAUUUAACCAUUGUUUUCACUUUGUUAUAUAGAUUUGCACCUGUUGCAACAAAAUUAACUAAUUUUUGUGCUCCCGGUAGGGUCUCAUAUAGCAAUUAGCAGUUGAACUGUUCGUCUGUCUGUCUAUCCGUCCGAAAACUUUAGCAUUGGUCAUAACUUUUGCAAUAUUGAAGAAAGCAACGAAGAAAGUAUGGGGACAGGGAAACAUGCUGUUAAAAAUGCCUGAUUGUAUGCUGUGAUUUCGUUGAAUGUAGAUAUGUUAUUUAAUGUUAAUAAAUAUGUUUAUUUACAAAGUUUA